GAUGAACGCUAGCGGCAGGCUUAACACAUGCAAGUCGAGGGGUAUAGGGAGCUUGCUUCCUAGAGACCGGCGCACGGGUGCGUAACGCGUAUGCAAUCUACCUUUUGCAGAGGGAUAGCCCAGAGAAAUUUGGAUUAAUACCUCAUAGUAUGUGAGAAUGGCAUCAUUUUCACAUUAAAGUCACAACGGCAAAAGAUGAGCAUGCGUCCCAUUAGCUUGUUGGUAAGGUAACGGCUUACCAAGGCAACGAUGGGUAGGGGUCCUGAGAGGGAGAUCCCCCACACUGGUACUGAGACACGGACCAGACUCCUACGGGAGGCAGCAGUGAGGAAUAUUGGACAAUGGGCGCAAGCCUGAUCCAGCCAUGCCGCGUGCAGGAUGACGGUCCUAUGGAUUGUAAACUGCUUUACACAGGAAGAACAACGCUACGUGUAGCGUCUUGACGGUACUGUGAGAAUAAGGAUCGGCU
This 469-nucleotide ribosomal RNA is filed under the name uncultured bacterium. RNAcentral's name for it is "bacterial SSU rRNA". It matches the Rfam family "Bacterial small subunit ribosomal RNA", at positions 28 to 498 of the family's 1533-position model. The record is from RNAcentral.